This 179-nucleotide microRNA precursor is filed under the name Daphnia pulex (common water flea). RNAcentral describes it as "Dpu-Let-7_pre stem-loop". The record is from RNAcentral. Lineage: Eukaryota; Metazoa; Arthropoda; Branchiopoda; Diplostraca; Daphniidae.
UGAGGUAGUAGGUUGUAUGGUUCGGUAUUACACAGCCGCGUUGCCGGAUAGACUCUCGAAAAAUAUGGAAAUCAACCGGACGAAAUCAAAAUCUUUUUGGUUUUCCGUUCGGUUCCGUUUUUUGGACAGAGGACAAAUGGCGCGCGCCCCGGUGGAACUGUACAACUUGCUAACUUUCC